Molecule: ribosomal RNA, 446 nt
Filed under: uncultured Streptococcus sp.
Lineage: Bacteria; Bacillati; Bacillota; Bacilli; Lactobacillales; Streptococcaceae
Description: bacterial SSU rRNA
Rfam family: Bacterial small subunit ribosomal RNA
Source: RNAcentral
AGCAUGUGGUUUAAUUCGAAGCAACGUCGAAGAACCUUACCAGGUCUUGACAUCCCGAUGCUAUUUCUAGAGAUAGAAAGUUACUUCGGUACAUCGGUGACAGGUGGUGCAUGGUUGUCGUCAGCUCGUGUCGUGAGAUGUCGGGUUAAGUCCCGCAACGAGCGCAACCCCUAUUGUUAGUUGCCAUCAUUCAGUUGGGCACUCUAGCGAGACUGCCGGUAAUAAACCGGAGGAAGGUGGGGAUGACGUCAAAUCAUCAUGCCCCUUAUGACCUGGGCUACACACGUGCUACAAUGGUUGGUACAACGAGUUGCGAGUCGGUGACGGCGAGCUAAUCUCUUAAAGCCAAUCUCAGUUCGGAUUGUAGGCUGCAACUCGCCUACAUGAAGUCGGAAUCGCUAGUAAUCGCGGAUCAGCAUGCCGCGGUGAAUACGUUCCCAGGCCUU